This 471-nucleotide ribosomal RNA is filed under the name uncultured bacterium. Its description in RNAcentral is "partial 16S ribosomal RNA". It matches the Rfam family "Bacterial small subunit ribosomal RNA", at positions 28 to 507 of the family's 1533-position model. The record is from RNAcentral.
GACGAACGCUGGCGGCGUGCUUAACACAUGCAAGUCGAACGGAAAGGCCCUGCUUGCCGGGUGCUCGAGUGGCGAACGGGUGAGUAACACGUGGGUGAUCUGCCCCUUACUUUGGGAUAAGCCUGGGAAACUGGGUCUAAUACUGGAUAGGACCAUGCUGUAGGUGGUGUGGUGGAAAGAUUUUUUCGGUAAGGGAUGAGCUCGCGGCCUAUCAGCUUGUUGGUGGGGUAAUGGCCUACCAAGGCGUCGACGGGUAGCCGGCCUGAGAGGGUGGACGGCCACAGUGGGACUGAGAUACGGCCCAGACUCCUACGGGAGGCAGCAGUGGGGAAUAUUGCACAAUGGGCGCAAGCCUGAUGCAGCGACGCCGCGUGGGGGAUGACGGCCUUCGGGUUGUAAACUCCUUUCAGCCAUGACGAAGCCUCUUUUGGGGUGACGGUAGUGGUAGAAGAAGCACCGGCUAACUACGUG